CCACCUGGCCACCUUGACUAAAUUUUUUAAUUUUUACUUGGUUUUUCUUUUUUAAUUUUGAUUUUUAUUUAAUAAUUAAAAAAUAAAAAUCCAAAAAAUUUAAUCCCUUGCUUAAAAUGUAGAGUGAAGUUGGAAAAUGGCUUUGAUGCCAUCUAAACUGUUUUUUUAUUGAAGCACUUAAUUGUCAUUUUCAAAUCUGCUUUUAAUUAAAGAGACAUUUUACAUAAGCACACCUAUACUUACACCUGCAAUGGCUCUUUUUGCGCAUUUGUUGUUUUUGGUGUUGAUUUUAAUGUGCUUCCUUCUGUAUCGCAACUUGAUUUGAUGCAAUGCUUAAAGGAUAAAUUUUGAAAUACAGGAGUAAAUACAACUAAUAAAAUGUAUGUAUGACAUGCAUAUUUAAAAUUAAUAUAAUCAUCCCUUACAUAAUAAUUUAUUAGAAUAAAUACAUACACAUUAUAAUAUAAUUUACUUAUUUGUAUAACUGAUAUAAUAUCUCUAACAUAUUCUAAAAUUUAUCUAUUUAAGGUGUAUUGAUGGCUAAAGUUCUAAAACAAUUUGUUACUUUGUUUAUCCCCUGGGAAUAGAUUUUAUCGUGCCCGUUUCUUCAAGAAUGAAGUAUCAUUUGCAUUCGGAUGAGACUUACAGUCAGUAGCGGAAUCGAUUAAAUUUGCAAACUCGUCUCAUGAUUUAAUUAAAAAUAAAAAAUAAAAAAUUCAUUCAUGUUUGUUUGCAGUGGAAUCUCUAGGGUUUAUUUUUGCGUGGAAUUCAGGUUUUAUUUUGAAACCGACAUUAGGAAAUAAAAGAUAUCAUCAAUGAACGCUAGACUGAAAUACUCUGUAUACGAUGGACAGUUACAAUCAAAGAUUCAGACCUCCAACAUUAUUACUACAUACACAGUGAAAUUGAUCUACAUGCUCAUUUCUCGCCAUUAUGGCGACAUCACGUACCACCUCAUGCUUAGAAAAAUGAUCAUCAUUAGCAGUAAUACUGUUAAGUAACCAUACAAGAAGUUUUUCGUCUGUGUAUAGUUGAGCUUACGCUUCUUCCAUCAUCUUAUUGAUGCCUUGAAAUAAACCCAAACCCAUGCCGUAGUUUCACAAGUAUAACCCUGUCAUCUUCUCAAAUAGGCACCAAAGCUGCUGCUUCAUUUUCUUUAUUCUCUCACCCUACGUUGAUCUAAAAAUGAACAGCUAAGAUUUCUCGAUUAGAUAUCAUAAGUGGUGGAUGAUGAUCUAUAGCAACAAGCAUGAUGCCUGUGUGGACCCUAAAUUGAAUUCUUGGAGCAUUCCUAAGAUAUAAAAUCUCUUAGGAACAAACUACAUAUGCAAAACCUUCACCAGUUGAGUCUCACCAACUUCAAUGAUACUUCCUCCUUCACAUUCCUCUUUAUGAGCAUAUACGACUCAAAUUCCAUCCUCAGUCAAAUCUAUAAAGAAUUGGCUUAAAGCCGGUCAAAGUAGACUCUCCUAUCACUACAUAGUAAUGUGAAACCAAGACUUCCGUUCUCAUUUGUUUGAUCUGCAUUCUUUCUUGGAAAUGAAACACCAAACUACUUAUUAGGUUGCUUCUUGUUGCGAAUCCAUCUUUCUUAUCAAUUUCAUUUUAAUUUUUGACAGUCAACUUUACAUACAUCCCUCGUAUAUGACUCUUAGAUCUAAGAAUUCAUAAAAAUAUUCUUAUCUUUCUUCAAUCAUUUACAUUCAUUCUUGGGAAAAAAAUAUCGACACUAAUUUAUUUGCGAUUUCUCCUUGAAUCUUUUUCAUUUAUAACUCUAGGGAUGUUUAUUGAAAAACUAACUAAAUAAAGAGUAUUUUCCUCUACUUGUGUAUUCUUGCCCACGCCUCCUAUUCCCCACUCAUCAAAGAUGUUGUUCACACCAAUCACCCAUUGCUCAAAAUACGUUUCAAUAUCUUCCCCUAUUUUAAGGAUAUACAACACUGUGCUGAAAAGCCGUCGGCGGAUUUAUAAACUUAAUGAAUCUGCCAAAAGAUAAAAGAUAAAUCAUGUGAACUAACCUGUGGCGAGUCCUCAAUGUCCUUUCGGCAUUUCAACAAAUAGUUGGCACACAAGCAGCUCAAGCGCUUGCACGAAGGCCUCCGGGAUUGUAAAAGCUGAUGCCGCCAACAUUUUCGAACUCGUAAGACUACCGAAGCUUUCGAUAGAAUCUGGUGGCAAUCAUAUGUGAUAUUAAAGCUAGAGGAUACGAUGGUACAAAAGAAAGUAUUUGUGGUUAUAGCUUGCUUUGGUUUCUUCCAGACGCCGAGGGGCGGCGUGGGUUAGGGCAAAAUAAAGUCUUUAACCCAACCAAACAAAUAUUAUUGUCUAUUGAAUAACGUAAAUUAGCCCGAUCUUAUAAAGCUGGC
RNAcentral lists this long non-coding RNA (2366 nucleotides) under Citrus x clementina. Its description in RNAcentral is "Citrus clementina (C. clementina) long non-coding RNA (CCLE_LNC003980)". Lineage: Eukaryota; Viridiplantae; Streptophyta; Magnoliopsida; Sapindales; Rutaceae. The record is from RNAcentral.